UUACAAUUAGGUGCUCUCACUGCCGUGGCCUGGGUUUGUUUCCCAGUCAGGGAACCACAUCACCUGUCUGUCAGUUGUCAUACUGACAUACUGUGGCAGCUGGGCAUUGCUGUGAUGCUGAAAGCUUUGCCACCAGUAUUUCAAAUACCAGCAGGGUCACCCAUGGUGGAUAGGUUUCAGUGGAGCUUCCAGACUAAGGCAGACAAGGAAGAAGGACCUGACCGCCCACUUCCAAAAAAAUUGGCCAUGAAAAACUCUCUGAAUAGCAGCAGAGCAUUGUCUGAUAACAGUGCUGGAAGGAGAGAGGAUGCCGCAAAAGACCAGCUAGACAUCUGGAACCUUUCUUCUGCAAACGAGAUCCAGUCUGAUCCCUUCUCAGAUUGAUGUAUGACUCCCUCACUAGACUAUAAGCUCAGGACAUAAGCUAUAUUUCAGUCACCAUUUUAUGCCGAAAGACACACAGAGGGAAGAAAGCAGAGAGUCAUCCUAACAGAAUAUUCAGCAACAGCAAGCAAACUUCAGCCAAGAGAAACAUCUUAGAUUCUCCCAAUCUCUCCCUCCUUAUUCUCCACCCCACACCCCACCUUAGCCCCCACCUGCUAUGCUAACAGCAAGAAGACUGCCUGCUGUCUGCAGGCCAGGAAGAGAACUCUCACAAGAACCCAACCAUGCUUGAUCUUGGACUUCCAAGCCUCCAGAACUGUGUGAAAUAAAUGUCUGUUGUUUAAGCCUCCCAGUCUAUAUUGUUUUGUUAUAGCAGCC
Molecule: long non-coding RNA, 762 nt
Filed under: Equus asinus (donkey)
Lineage: Eukaryota; Metazoa; Chordata; Mammalia; Perissodactyla; Equidae
Description: lncRNA (ENSEASG00005025716.1)
Source: RNAcentral